RNAcentral lists this non-coding RNA (23 nucleotides) under Cricetulus griseus (Chinese hamster). The record is from RNAcentral. Lineage: Eukaryota; Metazoa; Chordata; Mammalia; Rodentia; Cricetidae.
CGGCCCCGGGCAUAGACUCUGAG